This 861-nucleotide ribosomal RNA is filed under the name uncultured archaeon. RNAcentral's name for it is "bacterial SSU rRNA". It matches the Rfam family "Archaeal small subunit ribosomal RNA", at positions 26 to 893 of the family's 1478-position model. The record is from RNAcentral.
ACUGCUAUCGGAUUGAUACUAAGCCAUGCGAGUCUUUGUAGCAAUACAAGGCAGACGGCUCAGUAACACGUAGUCAAUCUACCCUAUGGACGGGGAUAACCUCGGGAAACUGAGAAUAAUACCCGAUAGAUCAUUAUGCCUGGAAUGGUUUAUGGUCGAAAUGAUUUAUCGCCGUAGGAUGGGACUGCGGUCUAUCAGCUUGUUGGUGAGGUAAUGGCCCACCAAGGCUAUAACAGAUACGGGCUCUGAGAGGAGAAGCCCGGAGAUGGGUACUGAGACACGGACCCAGGCCCUAUGGGGCGCAGCAGGCGAGAAAACUUUGCAAUGUGCGAAAGCACGACAAGGUUAAUCCGAGUGUUUUCUGCUAAAGAAAUCUUUUGUCAGUCCUAAAAACACUGAUGAAUAAGGGGUGGGCAAGUUCUGGUGUCAGCCGCCGCGGUAAAACCAGCACCUCAAGUGGUCAGGAGGAUUAUUGGGCCUAAAGCAUCCGUAGCCGGCCGUGUAAGUUUUCGGUUAAAUCUAUACGCUCAACGUAUAGGCUGCCGGGAAUACUGCACAGCUAGGGAGUGGGAGAGGUAGACGGUACUCGGUAGGAAGGGGUAAAAUCCUUUGAUCUAUUGAUGACCACCUGUGGCGAAGGCGGUCUACUAGAACACGUCCGACGGUGAGGGAUGAAAGCUGGGGGAGCAAACCGGAUUAGAUACCCGGGUAGUCCCAGCUGUAAACAAUGCAAACUCAGUGAUGCACUGGCUUGUGGCCAGUGCAGUGCCGCAGGGAAGCCGUUAAGUUUGCCGUCUGGGAAGUACGUACGCAAGUAUGAAACUUAAAGGAAUUGGCGGGGGAGCACCACAAGGGGUGAAG